Molecule: ribosomal RNA, 464 nt
Filed under: uncultured bacterium
Lineage: Bacteria
Description: partial 16S ribosomal RNA
Rfam family: Bacterial small subunit ribosomal RNA
Source: RNAcentral
AUUGAACGCUGGCGGCAGGCCUAACACAUGCAAGUCGAGCGGAUGAAGGGAGCUUGCUCCUGGAUUCAGCGGCGGACGGGUGGGUAAUGCCUAGGAAUCUGCCUGGUAGUGGGGGAUAACGUCCGGAAACGGGCGCUAAUACCGCAUACGUCCUGAGGGAGAAAGUGGGGGAGCUUCGGACCCCAUGGUGUGAGAUGGGCCUAGGUCUGAUUAGCUAGUUGGUGGGGUAGGGGCCUACCAAGCCGAAGAUCGGUAACUGGUCUGAGAGGGUGAGCGGUCACAUUGGGACUGAGAGACGGCCCAGAGUGGUACGGGAGGCAGCAGGGGGGAAUAUUGCACAAUGGGCGGAAGCGUGAGAAAGCGAUGUCGGGAUUGUGAAGACGGCCAAGGUGUUGUGAAGCGCAGUAGGCUAAGACGAAGCGGUAGUGACGGUAACGGCAGAAGAAGCACCGGCUAACUACGUG